This 483-nucleotide ribosomal RNA is filed under the name uncultured bacterium. Its description in RNAcentral is "partial 16S ribosomal RNA". It matches the Rfam family "Bacterial small subunit ribosomal RNA", at positions 29 to 506 of the family's 1533-position model. The record is from RNAcentral.
AUUGAACGCUGGCGGCAUGCUUUACACAUGCAAGUCGAACGGCAGCGCGGGCUUCGGCCUGGCGGCGAGUGGCGAACGGGUGAGUAAUACAUCGGAACGUGCCCAGUAGUGGGGGAUAGCUCGGCGAAAGCCGGAUUAAUACCGCAUACGACCUGAGGGUGAAAGCGGGGGAUCUUCGGACCUCGCGCUAUUGGAGCGGCCGAUGGCAGAUUAGCUAGUUGGUGGGGUAAAGGCCUACCAAGGCGACGAUCUGUAGCUGGUCUGAGAGGACGACCAGCCAAACGGGGGCGGAGAAACGGCCCAGACCCCCACGGGGGGGAGAGGGGGGGAAUUUUGGAAAAGGGGGGAAAGCCUGAACCGAAAAUGCCCGGGGUGGGAUAAGGGCCUUGGGGUUGAAAAACACUUUUGGGGGAAAAAAAAAGGACUGGCACAAUACCACGGUUCGAUGAGGGACCCCGAAAAAAAAGCACCGGCAAACAAGGG